AUUGUAGAGAAGAAAAGAUAUGGAUUUGAAUUAGUAGAAAGUCUUGAGUUCAAACCCUCACUCUUUUAUUCAUUGAAUUUAUAUUGAAUUUUUACAUUAAACAUUAUUAUGCUCAAUUUACAUUGAAGCUUUAUCUUGCUGAGCCUUGUUGUCACAUAUUUUAAAUCCCUUUCCCACCAGGGUUUUGGAAGGAUUGAAUGUCAUAAUGUAUUGGCGGCACCUGAAACGUGCUUCCCGCAUCAGAGGCUUAAUAAACAGCUAGGCCCUCUGAACUUCUACAGUAGAUUGGGUAUCUAGACUUGCUUAUUAAGGAAGAAGAAACUAUAGUUCCAUGGCAACAUCUAAUCAAGGCUUUUAUAGAAUCUCAGAGUUGGAGAAUUGUUCAGAUACGUCCUAGUCCUUCCUGUUGAAUGAUUUGUCUCUGCUCGGCUCUGUCAAUUACUACUCAUUCCAGCCUCUCAGGAAACACGAGGUUUCUGGAUCAGAGACAAACUUGAUUACUCAGAGAACAUAUUUCAUCAGUCUCUCAUGCUCCAAUCCCCCAAAGGGCAAUGCAGUGGGGGCAGAAAUCACCUGUGUGUAUGUGGGGUUUGUACAAGAGAGCUUACACACCUGCUCCCGCCCUCCUCCAGAGAGGGAGAGGGACUUUUGCUUUUUAAUAUAAACAAAUACUCUUCGAGGGAUAAAGGGUGAAGGUCCCUAAAUGAAUUAUAUAAAUAGCUCCAAGGAUCUUUAUAUUUAACUCUCAAGGCUUCUUUGAAUUUCAAACAUCCCUUAAUCCAGGUACCAGCAAUGUUUGUUCAGGAAUCCUAAUCAUGUAGCAUUGUUCCUUGUAGCAGUUUCUCCUCACUCCUAUCCCACCAGCCAGACUGGAAAAUAUUAUCACUCAAAGGAAAUUGGUCAGUCAGAAGACUCUUACCUCAGCAGUGGGGAUUAAUUAUCCCCGGAAUAAAUAUCGUUAUGGUCAUACCUGAAAAUUUUAAAGCAACGCCUGAAAUGAUCAAAGUAUUUCCAACAGGAAUACAAAAUUAUCUAGCACCUAGCAAAAUUCAUAAUAUCUAUCAUCCAAUUAAAUAAUUGCCACACAAUAGAGAAAUAAAAAAAAAAUCCUCAAUAAGAUGAAAAAUUAAAAAUUGAAACUGAUCCACACAUAAAUGUUUCAAUUAGCAUAUGAGCACUUGAAAAAAGCCUUUAUAGCUAUAUUCCAUAAGUUCAAAAAGCCAGAGGAAAAUGGAACAUUAUAAGCAUGGGAGACAUUAAAAAUUGCCCUGAUUGAAAUUCUAGAGGUGAAAACUAUAACACAGAAGAUGAAAAAUGUACUUGAUGGAAUUCAUAGCUGACUAAGCAUAGUGGACAAAAAGAUUAGUGAACUUGAAGACAUAACAAUAGGAACUAGUCAAAAUGAAAUAGAAAUAAAAGCCUCAUUAAAAAAAAACAAAAAACAAAUAAACAGAUCAUCAGUGAGCUAUGCAACAAUUUCAAGCAACCUACCAUAUGUGUGAUUGGAGCUGCUGGAUGAGAAAAAAGAGCAAGGAGAGUAAAGAAAAAAUAUUUGCAGAACGAAUGGCUGAAAAUGUCCCAAAUUUGAUGAAAAUUAUAAACUCUCAGAUCCAAGAUGCUCAAUAAACCCCAAGCACAAGAAACAAAGAAGAAAACUAUAACAAGGCAUAUAAUACAUAUCUUAAAAUCAGCAAUAAAGAAAAUAUCUUG
RNAcentral lists this long non-coding RNA (1710 nucleotides) under Equus asinus (donkey). RNAcentral describes it as "lncRNA (ENSEASG00005034475.1)". Lineage: Eukaryota; Metazoa; Chordata; Mammalia; Perissodactyla; Equidae. The record is from RNAcentral.